RNAcentral lists this ribosomal RNA (466 nucleotides) under uncultured bacterium. Its description in RNAcentral is "partial 16S ribosomal RNA". It matches the Rfam family "Bacterial small subunit ribosomal RNA", at positions 28 to 507 of the family's 1533-position model. The record is from RNAcentral.
GACGAACGCUGGCGGCGUGCUUAACACAUGCAAGUCGAACGGAAAGGCCCUGCUUGCAGGGUACUCGAGUGGCGAACGGGUGAGUAACACGUGGGUGAUCUGCCCUGCACUUCGGGAUAAGCUUGGGAAACUGGGUCUAAUACCGGAUAGGAGCCAUCUUUAGUGUGGUGGUUGGAAAGUUUUUUCGGUGUAGGAUGAGCUCGCGGCCUAUCAGCUUGUUGGUGGGGUAAUGGCCUACCAAGGCGGCGACGGGUAGCCGGCCUGAGAGGGUGUACGGCCACAUUGGGACUGAGAUACGGCCCAGACUCCUACGGGAGGCAGCAGUGGGGAAUAUUGCACAAUGGGCGCAAGCCUGAUGCAGCGACGCCGCGUGCGGGAUGAAGGCCUUCGGGUUGUAAACUCCUUUCGCUAGGGACGAAGCUUUUUUGUGACGGUACCUAGAUAAGAAGCACCGGCUAACUACGUG